GACGUAGGGGGCGAGCGUUGUCCGGAUUUAUUGGGCGUAAAGCGUGCGUAGGCGGCUGCGCAAGUCGGGUGUGAAACCCCGGGGCUCAACCCCGGAACUGCAUCCGAUACUGCGUGGCUAGAGGUAGGUAGGGGAGAUCGGAAUUCCUGGUGUAGCGGUGAAAUGCGCAGAUAUCAGGAGGAACACCGGUGGCGAAGGCGGAUCUCUGGGCCUUACCUGACGCUCAGGCACGAAAGCUAGGGGAGCGAGCAGG
RNAcentral lists this ribosomal RNA (253 nucleotides) under uncultured bacterium. Its description in RNAcentral is "partial 16S ribosomal RNA". It matches the Rfam family "Bacterial small subunit ribosomal RNA", at positions 524 to 776 of the family's 1533-position model. The record is from RNAcentral.